RNAcentral lists this ribosomal RNA (301 nucleotides) under uncultured bacterium. RNAcentral describes it as "partial 16S ribosomal RNA". It matches the Rfam family "Bacterial small subunit ribosomal RNA", at positions 509 to 807 of the family's 1533-position model. The record is from RNAcentral.
CAGUGCCGCGGGAACACGUAGGUGGCAAGCGUUGUCCGGAAUUAUUGGGCGUAAAGCGCGCGCAGGCGGUUUCUUAAGUCUGAUGUGAAAGCCCCCGGCUUAACCGGGGAGGGUCAUUGGAAACUGGGAGACUUAGAGUGCAGAAGAGGAGAGUGGAAUUCCAUGUGUAGCGGUGAAAUGCGUAGAUAUAUGGAGGAACACCGGUGGCGAAAGCGGCUCUCUGGCUUGUAACUGACGCUGAGGCUCGAAAGCGUGGGGAGCAAACAGGAUUAGAUACCCGAGUAGUCCCUGUCUCUUAUAC